Molecule: ribosomal RNA, 602 nt
Filed under: uncultured archaeon
Lineage: Archaea
Description: bacterial SSU rRNA
Rfam family: Archaeal small subunit ribosomal RNA
Source: RNAcentral
CCGGUGAUCCUGCCGGACCCGACUGCUAUCAGAGUAGGACUAAGGCAUGCGAGUCAACAUAGCAAUAUGUGGCAUACGGCUCAGUAACACGUAGUCAACAUGCCCAGGGGACGUGGAUAACCUCGGGAAACUGAGGAUAAACCGCGAUAGGUCAUUACUUCUGGAAUGGGUAAUGACUCAAACCUAUAUGGCCCCUGGAUUGGACUGCGGCCGAUCAGGCUGUUGGUGAGGUAAUGGCCCACCAAACCUGUAACCGGUACGGGCUCUGAGAGGAGGAGCCCGGAGAUGGGCACUGAGACAAGGGCCCAGGCCCUAUGGGGCGCAGCAGGCGCGAAACCUCUGCAAUAGGCGAAAGCUUGACAGGGUUACUCUGAGUGAUUUCCGUUAAGGAGAUCUUUUGGCACCUCUAAAAAUGGUGCAGAAUAAGGGGUGGGCAAGUCUGGUGUCAGCCGCCGCGGUAAUACCAGCACCCCGAGUGGUCGGGACGUUUAUUGGGCCUAAAGCAUCCGUAGCCGGUUCUACAAGUCUUCCGUUAAAUCCACCUGCUCAACAGAUGGGCUGCGGAAGAUACUAUAGAGCUAGGAGGCGGGAGAGGCAAGCGG